Molecule: ribosomal RNA, 429 nt
Filed under: uncultured bacterium
Lineage: Bacteria
Description: bacterial SSU rRNA
Rfam family: Bacterial small subunit ribosomal RNA
Source: RNAcentral
UACGGGAGGCAGCAGUGGGGAAUAUUGCACAAUGGGCGCAAGCCUGAUGCAGCCAUGCCGCGUGUAUGAAGAAGGCCUUCGGGUUGUAAAGUACUUUCAGUCGUGAGGAAGGUGUUAAGGUUAAUAACCUUAGCAAUUGACGUUAGCGACAGAAGAAGCACCGGCUAACUCCGUGCCAGCAGCCGCGGUAAUACGGAGGGUGCGAGCGUUAAUCGGAAUUACUGGGCGUAAAGGGCACGCAGGCGGUUAAUUAAGUUGGAUGUGAAAUCCCCGGGCUUAACCUGGGAAUGGCAUUCAAGACUGGUUAGCUAGAGUCUUGUAGAGGGGGUAGAAUUCCAUGUGUAGCGGUGAAAUGCGUAGAGAUGUGGAGGAAUACCGGUGGCGAAGGCGGCCCCUGGGACAAAGGCUGACGCUCAUGUGCGAAAGCGU